Molecule: ribosomal RNA, 243 nt
Filed under: uncultured bacterium
Lineage: Bacteria
Description: partial small subunit ribosomal RNA
Rfam family: Bacterial small subunit ribosomal RNA
Source: RNAcentral
AGAAUCAACGCUGGCGGCGUGCCUAACACAUGCAAGUCGAACGAGAAAGGGUAGCAAUACCUGAGUACAGUGGCGCACGGGUGAGUAACACGUGACUAACCUACCCUGGAGUGGGGAAUAACUGAGGGAACCUUAGCUAAUACCGCAUAAUACCUACGGGUCAAAGGAGCAAUUCGCUUCAGGAGGGGUCGCGGCCGAUUAGUUAGUUGGCGGGGUAAUGGCCCACCAAGACAGUGAUCGGUA